GACGAACGCUGGCGGCGUGCCUAAUACAUGCAAGUUGAGCGCUGAAGGUUGGUACUUGUACCAACUGGAUGAGCAGCGAACGGGUGAGUAACGCGUGGGGAAUCUGCCUUUGAGCGGGGGACAACAUUUGGAAACGAAUGCUAAUACCGCAUAAAAACUUUAAACACAAGUUUUAAGUUUGAAAGAUGCAAUUGCAUCACUCAAAGAUGAUCCCGCGUUGUAUUAGCUAGUUGGUGAGGUAAAGGCUCACCAAGGCGAUGAUACAUAGCCGACCUGAGAGGGUGAUCGGCCACAUUGGGACGGAGACACGGCCCAAACUCCUACGGGAGGCAGCAGUAGGGAAUCUUCGGCAAUGGACGAAAGUCUGACCGAGCAACGCCGCGGGAGUGAAGAAGGGUUUCGGAUCGUAAAACUCUGUUGGUAGAGAAGAACGUUGGUGAGAGUGGAAAGCUCAUCAAGUGACGGUAACUACACAGAAAGGGACGGCUAACUACGUG
This 497-nucleotide ribosomal RNA is filed under the name uncultured bacterium. Its description in RNAcentral is "partial 16S ribosomal RNA". It matches the Rfam family "Bacterial small subunit ribosomal RNA", at positions 28 to 507 of the family's 1533-position model. The record is from RNAcentral.